AGAUGGCGACCGGCGCACGGGUGAGUAACACGUAUCCAACCUGCCGAUAACUCGGGGAUAGCCUUUCGAAAGAAAGAUUAAUACCCGAUGGUAUAAUCAGACCGCAUGGUUUGAUUAUUAAAGAAUUUCGGUAUCGAUGGGGAUGCGUUCCAUUAGGCAGUUGGUGAGGUAACGGCUCACCAAACCUUCGAUGGAUAGGGGUUCUGAGAGGAAGGUCCCCCACAUUGGAACUGAGACACGGUCCAA
This 246-nucleotide ribosomal RNA is filed under the name uncultured bacterium. Its description in RNAcentral is "partial 16S ribosomal RNA". It matches the Rfam family "Bacterial small subunit ribosomal RNA", at positions 86 to 334 of the family's 1533-position model. The record is from RNAcentral.